GACGAACGCUGGUGGCGUGCUUAACACAUGCAAGUCGAACGGUGAAGGGGUCUGCUUUUGUGGGCCCUGGCUGAGUGGCGAACGGGUGAGUAACACGUGAGUAACCUGCCCCCUUCUUCUGGAUAACCGCAUGAAAGUGUGGCUAAUACGGGAUAUUCUGGGUCUGUCGCAUGAUGGGUCUGGGAAAGAUUGCGCCUUUGGGUGUUUUUGGUGGGGGAUGGGCUCGCGGCCUAUCAGCUUGUUGGUGGGGUGAUGGCCUACCAAGGCGGUGACGGGUAGCCGGCCUGAGAGGGUGGACGGUCACACUGGGACUGAGACACGGCCCAGACUCCUACGGGAGGCAGCAGUGGGGAAUAUUGCACAAUGGGCGCAAGCCUGAUGCAGCGACGCCGCGUGAGGGAUGGAGGCCUUCGGGUUGUAAACCUCUUUCGCCAGUGAAGCAGGCCUGCUCCUUGUGGGUGGGUUGACGGUAGCUGGAUAAGAAGCGCCGGCUAACUACGUG
Molecule: ribosomal RNA, 502 nt
Filed under: uncultured bacterium
Lineage: Bacteria
Description: partial 16S ribosomal RNA
Rfam family: Bacterial small subunit ribosomal RNA
Source: RNAcentral